GGGUGUCCCUAUGGCUUUUGUCAUCAGUCGCUAUUAAUUCUGGGUCACCAUAUUCCAAAAGACAUUUCUCAUAGGACUUCAGGGAAAGAAACUCUAGCAUCCUACCCAGAGCUAAAGAAAACAGGCCACGUUAAGAGCUCCAGUCCUUCAAAAGAGAUUUAUCAUCAUGUUGAUGUGGUUUUGAGGGACAGGGAAGUGUGGGGCCAUUUCUUACUUUUCGCCCUCUUUGACAGGGUGGGGGUGGUAUGGAUGCUGCGGUGGGGAGCCUGGGAAAAAACCAGCAAACAUAUAACCAGGGGCUGGGUUUUCACAUGUUCUUCACAGAGCCUGGCCCAUCAGAAAAUGGGCUGAAAAUGACACUGGAUUCUGGGUUGCUGACUUCACUGAUGACAUAUUUUAGGAACUAGGAAACCGUGCUUAAAGGAAGUGGGGAGUGACCAGAUGAAGUAAAACAGGAAAGGUAGUAAGCACCCAGAGGACUCACGCUGUGUCGGGCGCUAGUGCAGUUGAUUACUUUGUACAUCUUCACCUGGCUUGCUAAGCUGGAUAAGACUCUGGACUUAGUGCCAAUUCAAAAGAACCAAAGCCUAAUGUAUUGGAAUGGAAAGAAAGCAAAAACUAUUCAUCCAGGACCUGCUAUGAUCAAGGUUGCCCUCCAGAGGUUUCCAAUCCAGAGAGAGAACUUCCACGUAUGUCUCCAUGGAGAGAAAGAAUAAGGUAAAAGGAGCUGGAAGGAGACUGGAAGAAUCCCUCAAAGACGGACGGCACCAGAACUGAGAAUGUGGAAGAAGCCCAGUUCGUAAAUGGUGUGGGCGAAGUGGCUGAGUAUUAUCAAGCACAGACUCAGUCAGCAAAGUCAUGGAGAUCAGAGGGAGAGCUGCACAUGGGGGCAGACAUCAAGAAUCUGUGAGCAAUGGCAAGUCCUCUCUGCCCUCUGGGGCUCAGCUGGCUGAGAAUAAGCAACAUGGCACCGUGUUAUCAGUCCUGAGCUCUCUGCAAGUGGCCUGGUGUCCUCAGUCUGUAAAGUGGCAGGGUUAGGGUGGGUGGUAUCUAAAAUGAUGACUGGAAAGGGGAGCACCGGCUGCAAGUUGACAAUAUUUGUCAAAGUACCUUCCGUAUGCCUGAACCACGCUCUUGCCAGACUAACUCAUCGUCACACCACCACUGUCUCCACUUUACAAAACAAGGAGCCUGACCACAGACAGACUUCCUCCUUGAGAACUGGACUCGAAUCUACCUGAUUUGAAAGUCCAUGUUUUAGAGCACACCACCUCUCAAGCAUUCUAACCCAAGAGAGGUCGGUGACAUUGGAGGACUUUCUCUGGCAACGUUUGUGGAACACAUGAUAGCAGCAAUGGCUUGCAUUGCAGUUUCAAGGGGGGGGAGUCAAAGCAAGAAACAAAAGAGCAGGGAAGAAUCGGAAUCAUUGGGCAGAUCCUCCUCUUGAGUCUGAGUCCUAUGAUGCUAACAGAAUCUGGCCUCUACGGCAUAACUCUGUGUACUGUCUUGGCUGAAGCUGAAGGAAACUGUAUAAAAUUGCAACCAAAUGGUGUUGACACCUCAACAGAAAACUGGGGGAAAGUCAGAAAAUUAAUUCAUGGGAGAAAAAAAUGUAAAUGGCAGGUAAUUUAAUAGGAAAAUCCCAUUUAGCUAAAAAAAAAAAAAAUCAAAGAAUUUUUGAUGAAACUGUACAAUGAAAAUCUAAACAAAGAUUUUUAAAACUCUGAAAAUUGUGUCAACAUCCCAAAAUAGGCCACUUAUCUUAAAAAUAUGCAUGGUCAUACAGUGGAAUGCUAGGCCAGCAUUAACAUUUGCCAAGAAUAUAACACUCUAUGAUGACAGAGGAAUGCUCACAAUAUACUGAAAUAAAAAAAAGGAAACAAAAUUAUAUUAAUAAUACAAAACAACUGAAAAAUGUAUGUUUGCAUAUAGACAGAAAAUAUGGGAGAGAAAUCUCUCAGUACGUGAACUGUUUCUUUCUGUGUGGCUAUUAUUUUUGUCUUUGUUUUUCUUUUCCAUGUAUUCUGACAUUUCUAAGUGAGUAUGUGCUCUUUGUGGAUGAAAUGCCCAACCAGGAAUCAAGAUUACCAGCUGGCUGAGUCCCAUCACUACAAAGCCACAGCUCUGAAGUAAAGGGCUCAGAGCAAUCUAGAUGCUUCUUAAAGACAACGUUUCAUCAGACACGUCAUUCAUUCAGCAAGCCUCUACAGAACACCUCUACCGAACUAUGUACCCCGCAUCACCCCUGGUGCCUUCCAGAGCCAGACCCAGCCAAACUGGACAGCAGUUUGAAUUUGGUGCCUCCUGGUAUCAUUUUAUUUGCACUUUUUCUGCCUAAGCUUUUAGUGACCUUACAUUCUUUCCCUUUAUCAGACCUUGUUCUCACUCAGAACUCAAACUCGGUCAGACGCAGGUACAGUGAUUGGCAAUAUUUUAAAUGAUCUGCCCACAGGGCUUUAACAAAAUAGGGACAAAAACCCUACCUACCCUAAAAGAAUGAGGCCAUCAUGGCCAAAUUCUAGGAAAAUUUGGUGGGGAGAUACUUGAGUGUUGUCAGAACCCUUCCUCCUGCAGUUCCUUCCCCAGCCCUUGCUUCUUGCCUGGUAAAUUCCACUCAUUGUAACAAACCAGUUCUUCCUUGUCAUGCCUUCCACUUCUCUCCCAGAGAGUGGGGCUCUUGUUUGUGCUCUCAGAGAACCUUAUAAGCCUCUCUAUUAUUACAAUGAGCUCCUUGCACUGUAGAUUUUGUUUGCCCUUCUUCCAUAAUGGGCAACCCACGUGUCUCCUUUUCCUUUAUCCAUAGUAUCUCUCCCCUGCCCAAACCCCAACGUGCAAGUGACAGAUGUAUGUGUGACUGAUCAGCAUUUCAAGACCCCAAGUCGGGGAGUGCCUCCUCACCCUGCAGACAGGGCUGUUGCUGGGUCUUUUCAUGGUCAUCCCUUAGAGUGGCAGGCAAAAUCCAUUCGAGUGGCAGGAGCUAUGGUCAGCUCCUUUAAGUUUUUGUCAGAACGGGGCAGCCCUUACAUGACAAGUUAUGAGCUCCUAAUCCCUAAAAUUCUCUUAGGUGUUUUGGCUGGCGGUGAGGCAAGGAGGGGAGUGACAGCUCAUCAUUGUAGAAUGCAAUCGACUUAAUGGGUUGGAAUCAAUAUUUUUUAAUUGAAAAAGAUCAAAAUAGACAAGAACAGAACAGAAUGAAAUAGAAGAAAAGGAAUUUUGUUAAAAAUCCAAGUAUUCCCCAAACAGUAAUAGUCCCUUGAAAUCUCUGUUUCCUGUGUGUGGAUGCAUGCAUGUGUCCAUGAUCACUGGGUCAGAGUGAGUUAUGAUAGAAACGUCGGAAGCCACCUCCCUGAACAAGUUGGAGGAAAGGAGCCCUGUCCCUGCCCUGUCUGCCCAUGUCUGAGACCUCAUUCCUGUGGACAUUCGCUGGGAGCUGCCUCCUCUUCUCUUAGCCCCCAGCAGCCACAGCCCCGGCACUGGCAGAGGAUUUCCCUUAAUGCAGCUUGGGGGGGGGGGGGGGGUCCAGGGAAUUAAAAGGACAAAAUAACUGUUUUGAUGAGGAGAGAAGUAUAGAGGCUUACAUCCCUUUCUUUCUACCCAUGGUAUUCCCAGAACCUUUUUUGUCCUGGACUCUGAGAAAGAGUCUGCACUUGACAGGUACCCCAGCAAAUCCCCCUCCGCUCCCGGGUCAUCACUAAGGAAGCAGGGACUCUUCCCUGGUUGGGACAGCUACGUGACUGGUAUCCUGUUUUGGGAUGGGGGGGAGGUUGCUCUGUGCUUCUCAACCCUGCUGCUGAUACAGCUGGCCUCUCCAGGCCCAAGCCCAUGGGCGGAGCAACUCUAUUUAAGGCAGACUAGAAAGGAUCCUCAACAGGGUAUCUAGCAGCUAACUAAACAUCAUCUUAUUUGGUUACAGCAGCAGUGCAAUGCAGGGGCUAAGACCACCUUCGCCUGCACUGAUUGAGUGACCCUGGGCAACUUACCCUCUCUGAGACUCAGUGUCCCCUUCUGUAAAAUGGGGAUAGGAACUAUGCCAAUGUCAUAGAAAUAUUGUAAGGAUUCAACAUGUUAACAUAUACAAAGUGCUCAGAACAGUCUCUGUACACAGUGAGCAUCCAAUAAAUAUUAUUGUUAUUUAAUUAUUUCUUACAUAGGUAUAAUGAUUGUUUUUCCCAUAUUUAUAGAUAAGAAAAAGAGACUCAGAGAAAUUAAGUCCCUGCCCUAUAUCAUGUGCCCAGGAAAAGCAAAGCCAAAAUAUAAAUCUAGAUCUCCCUGACUUCAUGUUCUGUGUCCUUCUCCUCCUAAUGAUUCCCACCUCAGCUUCAGCAGCCUGUGGGACAUCGCCUAUGCCCCAUGGGUCUCUGCCAGGCACUCUCGGAUCAAAGGUGUCUGAAGGGAUGGUGAGCCCAGGGGAAAGUCCUUUCUCAGGUCUACGUGGCCCUAGGUCUUUGGGGGAGAUACAUUCUUGAGGGAGUGUGUGUGUGUAUGUGUGUGCAAGUGUAUGUGUGUGCGUGGGUGCGCAUGUAUUUUAAUAUGCUGGAGAUCAUUACUCGUACUGGCAUUCUUUCUGAGUUACAGGCUAUCAGACAGUGACGAGCAUGUGGGGUGGAAUCCUUAUGUCUUCAAAGAACUUCUUCAGAAAAGUGUCUCUUGAUAACUGAGUAGGGCCAUUUGAAACAGAGAUGACGAUGUCAGUAUUUCAGGGGCUAAGCAGCAGCUAUGCUGUAUGUCCUGGUUUCUUCCAGCCUCUGAUAUUCCCAUAUAUAGUACAAAGAUCUAAAAACUGUCCCUGCUUUCUCUUUGCUUGCAACCCACAGAGGGAACUGAAUUUCCACUUCCAGCCCACGGGAUAAGCCUGGGGAAAUAUAUGAUGGUAGUUGUGAUAUUUUUAAAAUGCUUAGCUUUUUGUCAACCCAAGCUCUCUGUAAUAACCACGCCACCAUACAGAAGAGCUCUGAAAAUAGGUGUUUGUAUGAUCAAGAGACACUUAGAAUUCUCAAGUACUUUUUAAAUUAUAUUUUAUGAUAUUUGAGAUGAUUUUCAUGGAAUUUAUUGGUAUCUAUUUGGAGGGAUUCAAAUCUACAUGUGUUUGAUAUAUGGUAACUUUGUUAAUCAAAAUAUUGAUUCUGUUGAGCUUUCUGAUAUGCUAGCUAAUAAGCUGCUAUAAUUCUCAAAUAGCCCUGUCCCCAGGUUUGUGCCUAAGCUGGGCGUGGGGCUGUGAAGGGAUCUUGGUGACUACUAGAAUUCCUGGCAUUCACAGGUGCUCCUGAAGUGUAAGCAACCUUACACUGUCCAGAAGGUGUUGUGGGAAUUGGCCCUGGAGCACUCACCAAGGAUUAGAGAAUGCACCCCCAUGCCAGGCUUACAAACUGGCCAUGUAAUACAGAUAAAAUAAGAACUGACUUCAGCAUCUGCCCUGAACACACACCAAUAACUUUCUGAGAAAAAAAAAAAAAAUCCCGCUAAUGAACGUGUUACUACAGAUCUCCGCAUAUGCACACUGUGCAAUGUUGACCGAACCCAAAUCCCUAGAGGCAAAGACCACUUUGUGAUAUUCCCCAUCUGACCCAUGUGGAGAAGCAAGGUCAAAUGCCUCCUGUCUCUCCAGGAUCAUGGGGAAACUUCAGGGAGCGGAGAGGGGGGAGUUAGCACACGAAAUGGAAACCACAGAUCAUCUCUGAAUUGCAUUUCGACCAGGCUUUUCAAUGAUAGAUUUAACAUUGACUAUUGCCCUUGAAAAGUCAAGAGGACCAUCAGGUGACAGAGUUUAAAUCAGAACUAUGUGUUGUGCAACACAUCUGACUGCCCCCAUUUUAGGAGCCGGGACCCACACUUUGCUCUUCCCACAGCCCAGCUUUGCAACAAGGAUAUCUUCAGAUUCAAACCAGACUAAACUGCAGCUGGACUUCAGGACAGAGUCUCCGCACCGGUGUUCCCACCUCCCAGCCGCUGGCCAGCCCAUGCGCCCUGGGAUAAUGCGGUGAGCAGGUCCCCAGCUUACCUCGAGC
This is a long non-coding RNA of Mustela lutreola (European mink), 6005 nucleotides long. RefSeq lists it as uncharacterized. The record is from RefSeq and is a predicted model, not a curated record. The transcript has 3 exons. NCBI's taxonomy places the organism in Eukaryota, Metazoa, Chordata, Mammalia, Carnivora, Mustelidae.